Non-coding RNA from Theobroma cacao (cacao), 1162 nucleotides. Lineage: Eukaryota; Viridiplantae; Streptophyta; Magnoliopsida; Malvales; Malvaceae. The record is from RefSeq and is a predicted model, not a curated record.
UUUCUUAUUCCUUUUCCUUCCUUCCCUCUCUCUUUCUUCUUUUUUGUGCUGGCAGCACCCCAGAUUUGACCAAAAUUCUUUGCUCCCACUUUUCUCUCGACCUCAGCACUAUCUCUAAAGCCGAUCCUCUCUUUUUUUUUUGUAUUAUUUUGUAUGUAUUUUUUAUUGUUGUGGAUCAUGGUUCCAACUGCUAGAGAUUUAGAAUUUUUCUUGGUUUUUUUAGUUUCUUUUGUUGUGUUGUUUUUUUUGAUUGAUUUUCCUGGCUUUCCAAAAUCCCCCCUCACCCUCAGAUUUUUCAAGGUUCUUAUAGAACCCAGUUGUCCAAAUCUUUGGACAAUCAUGAGCUUGGCAGCACUAAUUCCAGAUGGGUAACCUUCAAGUAAAAGAAAUCCACCGAAAAUGAUCUCAAAUCCCAGCUACCAGAAAAGCAUUUAAUGCUCUAUAUAUUGUUGAUAAUGGAGGCCAAGUGUGCCUCCAUCCCUUCUGUUUUUUCUUCUUUUUAUUUUUAUUAUUUUUUUGUGUGCUUUUUGGUUCAAUUUAUUUAUUUAAUUUUAUUUAUUAAGUGGGUGUCUACACCUACAAGGCUGUCCUCGGAGGAAUUCACCAGCGAUAUUGGAUAGCGAGGAACGAGGUGAAGAUACAACAAGUUUUAGAGACGUUCAAGGGAUGAUAGUUUCAGCAAAAUGGAAACGCGACAAAGAUUACCCUCAUCUUGAUCACGUGCAAUGUUUUAUUUGAUCAAGACUAUAGACGAGCAAUGAUUGCGUGGUUGUUGUUGUUGGUCGAGAACAUCGACCAAUGGAAUGCAUUCCCAUGGAGCACCUAUGUAUGGAGUUUGACCAUGGAUUACUUGUUGAGGGGCUUUAAACCUCAAAUGGUGGGAGCAUAAGAAAAGAAAUGUUACCACCUAUAUGGAUUUGUAUGGGCAUUUCAGGCUACUCCUGAUAUCCGAAGCUAGUUUGGUAGGUAGUGCCAAUCUGGACAGGUUUGUCUAAGAAUGUUGAAAUGGCAUUGUGAUGAGAUGCCCAUAUGCUUCCACAUCAAUAUUACAGGUUUGGAGAGAGAAGGCAGAUUGCGCGUAAUUGGAACCUUAAAGCCAAUUGUGGAAGAGAUUUUGGUUGCAUAUUGGGUCGACAUUGAUGUCAAUACCUCUGAGGGGCAG